UCACGAAACGUGGGUUGUACUAGAAGGUCUGGCAUGCUAACCCGCAAGGGAGGCAGCGGGCCCAAGGUAUGACUCUAUGAUUGGGGUG
RNAcentral lists this ribosomal RNA (88 nucleotides) under uncultured bacterium. RNAcentral describes it as "partial 16S ribosomal RNA". The record is from RNAcentral.